This 979-nucleotide long non-coding RNA is filed under the name Lathyrus oleraceus (garden pea). RNAcentral's name for it is "Pisum sativum (pea) long non-coding RNA (PSAT_LNC013218)". The record is from RNAcentral. Lineage: Eukaryota; Viridiplantae; Streptophyta; Magnoliopsida; Fabales; Fabaceae.
UCAAAUUGAUAAGCGGCACAAGAGUAUCACUUCACAAUACACACUUCACCUUUCCUUGGCCACCAUUAUUGUUCAUGAAAAAAAUGUUUCUUUAUCAUUUCCUUCACUCUUUUUUUCCGAUGACUACCUUAGGCAAGUAUACUGCACUCAUUUUGAUAUUUCUUCACAAAAGUGGACCUACCACUUUCUGCAUAUUCAUUUUUUUUCACAGUAAACUAAGUGUGAUACCAUGCUUCUUCACUAGUCUAAAUUGCUUCAUGUCUAACACUCAUAAACCAACAUAAUUCACUAUUAUAAACAAACCUAUAAUCUCUUUCAUGUAAAAAAAACUCACCAAUAAAUCACUCCAAAUACAACCUUCAUUUCAUGAGAUAUUUUUCCAUUUCAUACCACCAUAAAAACUCUCUCUUAAAUAAACCACAACUCACCAUAACUAACCUUUUUUCACCAUUUUUACUCUUUCAUUUUCACAACAUACACCACAACAACAAGGAAACGCAAGACGCGGUCGAAACCGAAAAAAGAUAGAAAGAAACAUCGUCAUCAUCAUCACUCUUUCCGCCGGAGCAUCCACUGAAUGCCACGACGCCCCCUCCUUCUAGUGCCACCAUCUCUGAAAUCGAUCUCGUCGGUCAUUUCUCUUUCUCUCCUUUUAAAUUUGAGUUCAUGAUUUGUUUUGUUUAUGUUUGUUUAUUUUGUUUUAUUUUGUUUAUUUAUUUUAACUUUUUUUUAAAUGAUUAAUUAAGGUUUUAAUGUCUUGUUUGAUUGAGUUCAAUGAGGUUUAAUAUUUAUACCUCAUAUCAUGUUUAUUUAUUUUAUUUUCAUUUUUGUUCUUUUGAUUUUAUUAUUUUUUGUAUCAUGUUUAUUUUGUAUUAUAGUAUUUUUUGGCUUUUCUAUGUACAUUUGGUCCAUUAACAAUUUAACAUUUACUCUAAAUAAUGUGGUGUCUCUUUCUUUUUAAACAUUUUGGUUGUUGCUA